Molecule: long non-coding RNA, 500 nt
Organism: Beta vulgaris subsp. vulgaris (sugar beet)
Lineage: Eukaryota; Viridiplantae; Streptophyta; Magnoliopsida; Caryophyllales; Amaranthaceae
Exons: 2
Source: RefSeq, a predicted model, not a curated record
CAACAUCACCAACAAUUUCUCAUGUCAAGAAUCAUCAAGUAGACACUAUCGGAAGAGGGAAGCUCUUAGCGCGAACGGAGGUGGAUAUUAAUUACAUGAGCAAAAGAAAAGUACCUAAUGGUCCUGAUCCUAUACAUAACAGGCCUCAGGGAAACCUUUCUGAAAUUUUUCACACAACAAUACAUGCAAAGCCUUCUUGUUAUCAAUAGAAUGGAAUUGUUGGCUGCAUUAGUCAAAACUCUACUUCAAUAUUCGUCCAAGUAUAUCAAUUAUUAUUUUUAAUAGUAAGGAUUAUGUUUUUAUUUUUGGUUGGGGGAGAGCCUCUCCAAGUACAUAUACACUCAGAACAAUCCAAGUACAUGUACACCCUUAUCAUAUUCAAGAAUUAUGUAAAGCAAGAUAUAUCUUAUCUUCAAAGGCAUCCUUUGAUAUGUAUGUUCCUUUUGUGCCCUAAAGGCUAAAUGAAUAAAAGAAUCUCGUUAUCCUUUUUCCCCUCUGCA